AUUGAACGCUGGCGGCAGGCCUAACACAUGCAAGUCGAGCGGAUGAAGGGAGCUUGCUCCUGGAUUCAGCGGCGGACGGGUGAGUAAUGCCUAGGAAUCUGCCUGGUAGUGGGGGAUAACGUCCGGAAACGGGCGCUAAUACCGCAUACGUCCUGAGGGAGAAAGUGGGGGAUCUUCGGACCUCACGCUAUCAGAUGAGCCUAGGUCGGAUUAGCUAGUUGGUGGGGUAAAGGCCUACCAAGGCGACGAUCCGUAACUGGUCUGAGAGGAUGAUCAGUCAGACUGUAACUGAGACAGGGCCCAGACUCCGACGGGAGGCCGCAGUGGGGAAUAUUGGACGAUGGGGGAAAGCCUGAUACAGCCAUGCCGCGUGUGUGAAGAAGGUCUUCGGAUUGUAAAGCAAUGUAAGUUGGGAGGAAGGGCAGUAAGUUUAUACCUUGCUGUUUUGACGUUACCAACAGAAUAAGCACCGGCUAACUUCGUG
Molecule: ribosomal RNA, 484 nt
Filed under: uncultured bacterium
Lineage: Bacteria
Description: partial 16S ribosomal RNA
Rfam family: Bacterial small subunit ribosomal RNA
Source: RNAcentral